CCUACGGGAGGCAGCAGUAGGGAAUCUUCCACAAUGGGCGAAAGCCUGAUGGAGCAACGCCGCGUGAGUGAUGAAGGCCUUCGGGUUGUAAAACUCUGUCAUUCGGGACGAACCGGAGUCUGAGGAAAUGCAGACUCUCUGACGGUACCGGAGGAGGAAGCCCCGGCUAACUACGUGCCAGCAGCCGCGGUAAUACGUAGGGGGCAAGCGUUGUCCGGAUUCACUGGGCGUAAAGCGCGCGCAGGCGGUGAUGUAAGUCUGAGGUGAAAACCCGAAGCUCAACUUCGGGACUGCCUUGGAUACUGCGUCACUUGAGGAUAGGAGAGGCAAGGGGAAUUCCACGUGUAGCGGUGAAAUGCGUAGAGAUGUGGAGGAACACCUGUGGCGAAGGCGCCUUGCUGGCCUAUUUCUGACGCUGAGGCGCGAAAGCGUGGGGAGCAAACAGGAUUAGAUACCCUGGUAGUCCACGCUGUAAACGAUGAGUGCUAGGUGUAGGUGGGCUCAUACCCAUCUGUGCCGAAGCUAACGCAUUAAGCACNCCGCCGUGGGAGGUACGGUCGCGACGACGUAGUAAACGUUAAAGUUAAGUAAGUUAGUACGGACGUUAGGAGACGAGCGACGGACGACGACGAGGGGAGGAGG
Molecule: ribosomal RNA, 642 nt
Filed under: uncultured bacterium
Lineage: Bacteria
Description: bacterial SSU rRNA
Rfam family: Bacterial small subunit ribosomal RNA (bases 1-544)
Source: RNAcentral